Molecule: ribosomal RNA, 500 nt
Filed under: uncultured bacterium
Lineage: Bacteria
Description: partial 16S ribosomal RNA
Rfam family: Bacterial small subunit ribosomal RNA
Source: RNAcentral
GACGAACGCUGGCGGCGUGCCUAAUACAUGCAAGUCGAGCGGACCGGAUUGGGGCUUGCCUUGAUUCGGUCAGCGGCGGACGGGUGAGUAACACGUGGGCAACCUGCCCGCAAGACCGGGAUAACUCCGGGAAACCGGAGCUAAUACCGGAUAACACCGAAGACCGCAUGGUCUUCGGUUGAAAGGCGGCCUUUGGGCUGUCACUUGCGGAUGGGCCCGCGGCGCAUUAGCUAGUUGGUGAGGUAACGGCUCACCAAGGCGACGAUGCGUAGCCGGCCUGAGAGGGUGACCGGCCACACUGGGACUGAGACACGGCCCAGACUCCUACGGGAGGCAGCAGUGGGGAAUCUUCCGCAAUGGGCGAAAGCCUGACGGAGCGACGCCGCGUGAGCGAAGAAGGCCUUCGGGUCGUAAAGCUCUGUUGUGAGGGACGAAGGAGCGUCGUUCGAAGAGGGCGGCGCGGUGACGGUACCUCACGAGAAAGCCCCGGCUAACUACGU